Non-coding RNA from Oncorhynchus mykiss (rainbow trout), 598 nucleotides. NCBI's taxonomy places the organism in Eukaryota, Metazoa, Chordata, Actinopteri, Salmoniformes, Salmonidae. The record is from RefSeq and is a predicted model, not a curated record.
UGGUAACAACACAGUCUGUGAUUGGCUAACAACAUUUAGGUCUGUAUACAGCGAGAUAAGAUAACAUACCACGCCAUAAGGUGUUGAGGGAAAGACAGACUACCUAUAGAUUGGACAUAAUAUUUUCUAGGCCAUUAGCGAUAACAGGAAGCUCGAGGGGCUACACUCGGAGGCUACUUCGGAAUGUCGGCUUGCAUGGGAAAAAUGAAUGGACCAUUAUUCUGCACCUAUAUCGAAACAGGAGCAGCGGGAAAAAAUGUAAUAUCAUCCAUGCACAGAAAUAGCGAAUGGAGGAUGCUUUUCCCUGUGUUUUUUCCCCCAUGCCAGCCAGCCCCUGCUGCUUCACCUUUGAGGAACCAGCAGGAGAGACACCGAAGCGUGGUGAUCCGCCUCAAUGUGAAAAUGCUCCAGGGGGAGUCUGCCUGAGUAAAGACUGAGUAAAUGUGUCAGCGUCAAUAUUAAACUAUGAAAUAAUAUUUGUUCUGUAAUUGUAACAACAUAGAACUCAAGUCCUUUUGUUCACCUGACCUAGAAUUCCUCACAAUCAAAUGCCGACCGUAUUAUCUCCCAAGAGAACUCUCCUUGGUUAUCGUCACAA